AUUGAACGCUGGCGGAAUGCUUUACACAUGCAAGUCGAGCGGCAGCGCGGGGCAACCUGGCGGCGAGCGGCGAACGGGUGAGUAAUACAUCGGAACGUACCCAGUUGUGGGGGAUAGCCCGGCGAAAGCCGGAUUAAUACCGCAUACGACCUGAGGGGGAAAGUGGGGGAUCGCAAGACCUCACGCAGUUGGAGCGGCCGAUGGCGGAUUAGCUAGUUGGUGGGGUAAAGGCCUACCAAGGCGACGAUCCGGAGCGGGUCUGAGAGGACGACCCGCCACACUGGAACUGAGACACGGUCCAGACUCCUACGGGAGGCAGCAGUGGGGAAUUUUGGACAAUGGGGGCAACCCUGAUCCAGCCAUUCCGCGUGAGUGAAGAAGGCCUUCGGGUUGUAAAGCUCUUUCGGCAGGAACGAAACGGUAGGCUCUAACAUAGCCUGCUAAUGACGGUACCUGAAGAAGAAGCACCGGCUAACUACGUGCCAGCCGCCGCCGUAA
RNAcentral lists this ribosomal RNA (498 nucleotides) under uncultured bacterium. RNAcentral's name for it is "partial 16S ribosomal RNA". It matches the Rfam family "Bacterial small subunit ribosomal RNA", at positions 29 to 523 of the family's 1533-position model. The record is from RNAcentral.